RNAcentral lists this ribosomal RNA (510 nucleotides) under uncultured Streptomyces sp. RNAcentral's name for it is "bacterial SSU rRNA". It matches the Rfam family "Bacterial small subunit ribosomal RNA", at positions 150 to 674 of the family's 1533-position model. The record is from RNAcentral. Lineage: Bacteria; Bacillati; Actinomycetota; Actinomycetes; Kitasatosporales; Streptomycetaceae.
CUGGAAACGGGGUCUAAUACCGGAUAUGACUGUCCAUCGCAUGGUGGAUGGUGUAAAGCUCCGGCGGUGCAGGAUGAGCCCGCGGCCUAUCAGCUUGUUGGUGAGGUAGUGGCUCACCAAGGCGACGACGGGUAGCCGGCCUGAGAGGGCGACCGGCCACACCGGGACUGAGACACGGCCCAGACUCCUACGGGAGGCAGCAGUGGGGAAUAUUGCACAAUGGGCGAAAGCCUGAUGCAGCGACGCCGCGUGAGGGAUGACGGCCUUCGGGUUGUAAACCUCUUUCAGCAGGGAAGAAGCGAAAGUGACGGUACCUGCAGAAGAAGCGCCGGCUAACUACGUGCCAGCAGCCGCGGUAAUACGUAGGGCGCAAGCGUUGUCCGGAAUUAUUGGGCGUAAAGAGCUCGUAGGCGGCUUGUCACGUCGGUUGUGAAAGCCCGGGGCUUAACCCCGGGUCUGCAGUCGAUACGGGCAAGCUAGAGUUCGGUAGGGGAGAUCGGAAUUCCUGGU